UCCCUGAUGGCUCAGAUGGUAAAGUAUCUGCCUACAAUGCAGGAGACCCAAGUUCAAUCCCUGGGUUGGGAA
Molecule: non-coding RNA, 72 nt
Organism: Bos taurus (domestic cattle)
Lineage: Eukaryota; Metazoa; Chordata; Mammalia; Artiodactyla; Bovidae
Source: Rfam